GAUGAACGCUGGCGGCGUGCCUAAUACAUGCAAGUCGAGCGAACGGACGAGAAGCUUGCUUCUCUGAUGUUAGCGGCGGACGGGUGAGUAACACGUGGAUAACCUACCUAUAAGACUGGGAUAACUUCGGGAAACCGGAGCUAAUACCGGAUAAUAUUUUGAACCGCAUGGUCCAAAAGUGAAGGACGGUCUUGCUGUCACUUAUAGAUGGAUCCGCGCUGCAUUAGCUAGUUGGUAAGGUAACGGCUUACCAAGGCAACGAUGCAUAGCCGACCUGAGAGGGUGAUCGGCCACACUGGAACUGAGACACGGUCCAGACUCCUACGGGAGGCAGCAGUAGGGAAUCUUCCGCAAUGGGCGAAAGCCUGACGGAGCAACGCCGCGUGAGUGAUGAAGGUCUUCGGAUCGUAAAACUCUGUUAUUAGGGAAGAACAUAUGUGUAAGUAACUGUGCACAUCUUGACGGUACCUAAUCAGAAAGCCACGGCUAACUACGUG
Molecule: ribosomal RNA, 497 nt
Filed under: uncultured bacterium
Lineage: Bacteria
Description: partial 16S ribosomal RNA
Rfam family: Bacterial small subunit ribosomal RNA
Source: RNAcentral